AACGAACGCUGGCGGCAGGCUUAACACAUGCAAGUCGAGCGAGACCUUCGGGUCUAGCGGCGGACGGGUGAGUAACGCGUGGGAACGUGCCCUUCUCUACGGAAUAGCCCCGGGAAACUGGGAGUAAUACCGUAUACGCCCUUUGGGGGAAAGAUUUAUCGGAGAAGGAUCGGCCCGCGUUGGAUUAGGUAGUUGGUGGGGUAAUGGCCCACCAAGCCGACGAUCCAUAGCUGGUUUGAGAGGAUGAUCAGCCACACUGGGACUGAGACACGGCCCAGACUCCUACGGGAGGCAGCAGUGGGGAAUCUUAGACAGUGGGGGCAACCCUGAUCUAGCCAUGCCGCGUGAGUGAUGAAGGCCUUAGGGUUGUAAAGCUCUUUCAGCUGGGAAGAUAAUGACGGUACCAGCAGAAGAAGCCCCGGCUAACUCCGUG
RNAcentral lists this ribosomal RNA (433 nucleotides) under uncultured bacterium. Its description in RNAcentral is "partial 16S ribosomal RNA". It matches the Rfam family "Bacterial small subunit ribosomal RNA", at positions 29 to 507 of the family's 1533-position model. The record is from RNAcentral.